Molecule: long non-coding RNA, 427 nt
Filed under: Capsicum annuum
Lineage: Eukaryota; Viridiplantae; Streptophyta; Magnoliopsida; Solanales; Solanaceae
Description: long non-coding RNA (CANN_LNC014913)
Source: RNAcentral
ACCCAUCAAUUAUCAUGUACAUCUACCCAUGUCUCUUCGUCAUAGAUGUAAAAAGUGUUCCACAAAUAAGUAGUGUUCUGCCAUGAAAAACAAAAUUUGAUGUAAAAAGUAUUCCACAAUAAAGUUAUUACAAUAAUUACUACCAUUAAGGUGUUAUUAAUAAUUUAUUGUUGAAGCUCUUAACCCACUUUCACCUCCUACUCACCCCCAUCAUAUGAUAUAACGAUUAUUCAGUGUAAGAAGCAAUAUUUAUGCAGCUAGCAGCUAGAGAGGAAGAAGCUUAUAGGUUACAAACAAUAUAUAAUUCAAUAUUUAUGCUUAAUUAGAAGCUCAUAAAAUAUGUUAGCCAUUGGGAUAAAGGGAUAGAUAGGAAAUGAAUACGUCUAAUUAGCAGCAUGAUUGACAAUAAUUAAUAAUUUUUUUUUUC